This 935-nucleotide ribosomal RNA is filed under the name uncultured bacterium. Its description in RNAcentral is "bacterial SSU rRNA". It matches the Rfam family "Bacterial small subunit ribosomal RNA", at positions 31 to 967 of the family's 1533-position model. The record is from RNAcentral.
GAACGCUGGCGGAAUGCUUUACACAUGCAAGUCGAACGGUAGAGGGGGCAACCCCUUGAGAGUGGCGAACGGGUGAGUAAUGUAUCGGAACGUGCCCAGUCGUGGGGGAUAACGUAGUGAAAAUUACGCUAAUACCGCAUACGAUCUAUGGAUGAAAGCGGGGGAUCGCAAGACCUCGCGCGAUUGGAGCGGCCGAUAUCAGAUUAGGUAGUUGGUGGGGUAAAGGCUCACCAAGCCAACGAUCUGUAGCUGGUCUGAGAGGACGACCAGCCACACUGGAACUGAGACACGGUCCAGACUCCUACGGGAGGCAGCAGUGGGGAAUUUUGGACAAUGGACGCAAGUCUGAUCCAGCCAUUCCGCGUGCAGGACGAAGGCCUUCGGGUUGUAAACUGCUUUUGUACGGAACGAAAAAGCUCUUAUUAAUACUAGGAGUCCAUGACGGUACCGUAAGAAUAAGCACCGGCUAACUACGUGCCAGCAGCCGCGGUAAUACGUAGGGUGCAAGCGUUAAUCGGAAUUACUGGGCGUAAAGCGUGCGCAGGCGGUUAUAUAAGACAGAUGUGAAAUCCCCGAGCUUAACUUGGGAACUGCAUUUGUGACUGUAUAGCUAGAGUACGGCAGAGGGGGAUGGAAUUCCGCGUGUAGCAGUGAAAUGCGUAGAUAUGCGGAGGAACACCGAUGGCGAAGGCAAUCCCCUGGGCCUGUACUGACGCUCAUGCACGAAAGCGUGGGGAGCAAACAGGAUUAGAUACCCUGGUAGUCCACGCCCUAAACGAUGUCAACUGGUUGUUGGGUCUUCACUGACUCAGUAACGAAGCUAACGCGUGAAGUUGACCGCCUGGGGAGUACGGCCGCAAGGUUGAAACUCAAGGAAUUGACGGGGACCCGCACAAGCGGUGGAUGAUGUGGUUUAAUUCGAUGCAACGCGAAAA